RNAcentral lists this ribosomal RNA (150 nucleotides) under Backusella oblongispora. RNAcentral's name for it is "5.8S ribosomal RNA". It matches the Rfam family "5.8S ribosomal RNA". From Rfam's summary of the family: 5.8S ribosomal RNA (5.8S rRNA) is a component of the large subunit of the eukaryotic ribosome. It is transcribed by RNA polymerase I as part of the 45S precursor that also contains 18S and 28S rRNA. Functionally, it is thought that 5.8S rRNA may be involved in ribosome translocation. Lineage: Eukaryota; Fungi; Mucoromycota; Mucoromycetes; Mucorales; Backusellaceae. The record is from RNAcentral.
AACUUUUAACAAUGGAUCUCUUGGUUCUCGCAUCGAUGAAGAACGUAGCAAAUUGCGAUAUCUAGUGUGAAUUGCAUAUUCAGUGAAUCAUCGAGUCUUUGAACGCAUCUUGCACUCAUAGGUAUUCCUAUGAGUACACCUGUUUCAGUA